AAUGAACGUUGGCAGCGUGGAUUAGGCAUGCAAGUCGAGCGACAAGGUCCUGGACUGGAGGAGCGGCAAACGGGUAGGUAAUACAUCGGAACGUACCCUCACGUCUGGGAUAGCCACGGGAAACUGUGGGUAAUACUGGAUAAUCUCACCACUUGUGAAGAGUGGUGAGCAAAGGUCCGCCGCGUGAGGAGCGGCCGAUGCGAUACUAGAUAGUUGGUGGGGUAAUGGCCUACCAAGUCUAAGAUGUCUAGGGGUGUGAGAGCAUGGCCCCCACCACUGGGACUGAGACACUGCCCAGACACCUACGGGUGGCUGCAGUCGAGAAUCUUUGGCACUGGGCGCAAGCCUGACCAAGCGACGCUGCGUGC
RNAcentral lists this ribosomal RNA (368 nucleotides) under uncultured bacterium. RNAcentral's name for it is "bacterial SSU rRNA". It matches the Rfam family "Bacterial small subunit ribosomal RNA", at positions 29 to 404 of the family's 1533-position model. The record is from RNAcentral.